AUUACUGCUGGGGGUAGAGCACUGUUUCGGCUAGGGGGUCAUCCCGACUUACCAAACCGAUGCAAACUCCGAAUACCAGCAAGUACAGUGAGGGAGACAGACUGCGGGUGCUAACGUCCGUAGUCAAGAGGGAAACAACCCAGAUCGCCAGCUAAGGUCCCAAAGUAUUAUUAAGUGGGAAACGUUGUAGGAAGGCCCAAACAGCUAGGAGGUUGGCUUAGAAGCAGCCAUCCUUUAAAGAAAGCGUAACAGCUCACUAGUCGAGUCGGCCUGCGCGGAAGAUGUAACGGGGCUAAAUAAUACACCGAAGCUGCGAAUGAAUAUUUAUAUUCAUGGUAGGGGAGCGUUCUGUAUGCCACUGAAGGUGAAUCGAGAGGUUCAUUGGAGGUAUCAGAAGUGAGAAUGCUGACAUAAGUAACGAUAAGAGGGGUGAAAAACCUCUCCGCCGAAAGACCAAGGUUUCCUGUCCAACGUUAAUCGGGACAGGGUGAGUCGACCCCUAAGGCGAGGGCGAAAGCCGUAGUCGAUGGGAAAUAGGUUAAUAUUCCUAUACUUCUUGUUACUGCGAUGGAGUGACGGAGAAGGCUAGGCCAGCACAGCGACGGUAGUUCUGUGUUUAAGGUUGUAGGUUGGAGAUUUAGGUAAAUCCGGAUCUCUAAGACCGAGAACUGAUGACGAUUAUCUUUUCGGAGAUAAGAAGUGGUCGAUGCCAUGCUUCCAGGAAAAACUUCUAAGCUAUAGGUAGCAAGGAAUCGUACCGUAAACCGACACAGGUGGUCAGGUAGAGAAUACUAAGGCGCUUGAGAGAACUCUGGUGAAGGAACUAGGCAAAAUGGUACCGUAACUUCGGGAGAAGGUACGCCCUCAUUACGUGACGAGACUUGCUCUCCGAGCGGAAGAGGGUCGAAGAUACCAGGUGGCUGCGACUGUUUACUAAAAACAUAGCACUCUGCAAACACGAAAGUGGACGUAUAGGGUGUGACGCCUGCCCGGUGCCGGAAGGUUAAUUGAUCGGGUUAGCCCCUUGUGGGCGAAGCUCGUGAUCGAAGCCCCGGUGAACGGCGGCCGUAACUAUAACGGUCCUAAGGUAGCGAAAUUCCUUGUCGGGUAAGUUCCGACCUGCACGAAUGGCGUAACGAUGGCCACGCUGUCUCCACCAGAGACUCAGUGAAAUUGAAUUUGCGGUGAAGAUGCCGUAUACGCGCGGCUAGACGGAAAGACCCCGUGCACCUUUACUAUAGGUUCACACUGGACUUUGAGUUUAUUUGUGUAGGAUAGGUGGGAGACUUUGAAGCAGGAGCGCCAGCUCUUGUGGAGUCGUCCUUGAAAUACCACCCUAUUAAAUUUGGAGUUCUAACUUAGGCCCGUAAUCCGGGUCGAGGACAGUGUGUGCUGGGUAGUUUGACUGGGGCGGUCUCCUCCCAAAGAGUAACGGAGGAGUGCGAAGGUAACCUCAGCACGGUCGGACAUCGUGCAAUGAGUGCAAUGGCAUAAGGUUGCUUAACUGCGAGACUGACAAGUCGAGCAGAUACGAAAGUAGGUCAUAGUGAUCCGGUGGUUCUGAAUGGAAGGGCCAUCGCUCAACGGAUAAAAGGUACGCCGGGGAUAACAGGCUAAUACCCCCCAAGAGUUCACAUCGACGGGGGUGUUUGGCACCUCGAUGUCGGCUCAUCACAUCCUGGGGCUGAAGCAGGUCCCAAGGGUAUGGCUGUUCGCCAUUUAAAGUGGUACGCGAGCUGGGUUUAGAACGUCGUGAGACAGUUCGGUCCCUAUCUGCCGUGCGCGUUGGAAAAUUGAGAAGAGUUGCUCCUAGUACGAGAGGACCGGAGUGAACGAACCGCUGGUGUUCGGGUUGUCAUGCCAAUGGCAUUGCCCGGUAGCUAUGUUCGGAAAGGAUAACCGCUGAAAGCAUAUAAGCGGGAAGCCUCCUUCAAGACUAGUUUUCCCUGGACCUUCGGGUCCUUAGAGAGCCGUUCAAGACUAGGACGUUGAUAGGCAGGGUGUGUAAGUGCUGUAAGGCAUUGAGCUAACCUGUACUAAUUGCUCGAUCGGCUUGACCGU
RNAcentral lists this ribosomal RNA (2061 nucleotides) under Gammaproteobacteria bacterium. RNAcentral's name for it is "partial 23S ribosomal RNA". It matches the Rfam family "Bacterial large subunit ribosomal RNA", at positions 889 to 2925 of the family's 2925-position model. The record is from RNAcentral. Lineage: Bacteria; Pseudomonadati; Pseudomonadota; Gammaproteobacteria.